CUAAACCAAAGCUGGCGACCGGCGCACGGGUGAGUAACACGUAUCCAACCUGCCUCAUACUCGGGGAUAGCCUUUCGAAAGAAAGAUUAAUAUCCGAUAGCAUAUAUUUCCCGCAUGGGUUUUAUAUUAAAGAAAUUCGGUAUGAGAUGGGGAUGCGUUCCAUUAGUUUGUUGGGGGGGUAACGGCUCACCAAACCUUCGAUGGAUAGGGGUUCUGAGAGGAAGGUCCCCCACAUUGGAACUGAGACACGGUCCAA
RNAcentral lists this ribosomal RNA (256 nucleotides) under uncultured bacterium. Its description in RNAcentral is "partial 16S ribosomal RNA". It matches the Rfam family "Bacterial small subunit ribosomal RNA", at positions 79 to 334 of the family's 1533-position model. The record is from RNAcentral.